This is a non-coding RNA of Yersinia mollaretii ATCC 43969, 106 nucleotides long. Lineage: Bacteria; Pseudomonadati; Pseudomonadota; Gammaproteobacteria; Enterobacterales; Yersiniaceae. The record is from Rfam.
UUUUCAUCCCUGCCAGAGGUAAAAAUAGCCGUAUAAACGGCAGUUAGUUCUGGUGGAAUACUCUGCUGUACCCCUACAUGUGCAUCAAAGAAAAUAGUGUAACCAG